This 325-nucleotide ribosomal RNA is filed under the name uncultured bacterium. RNAcentral describes it as "bacterial SSU rRNA". It matches the Rfam family "Bacterial small subunit ribosomal RNA", at positions 28 to 334 of the family's 1533-position model. The record is from RNAcentral.
GAUGAACGCUGGCGGCGUGCCUAACACAUGCAAGUCGAACGGACAUUUUUUGGAAAGCUCUUCGGAACUGGAAUCUAAAUGUUAGUGGCGGACGGGUGAGUAACGCGUGAGCAAUCUGCCUUUCAGAGGGGGACAACAGUUGGAAGCGACUGCUAAUACCGCAUAAGCCCACGACCCGGCAUCGGGUUGAGGGAAAAGGAGCAAUCCGCUUUGAGAUGGCCUCGCGUCCGAUUAGCUAGUUGGUGAGGUAACGGCCCACCAAGGCGACGAUACAUAGCCGGCCUGAGAGGGUGAUCGGCCACACUGGGACUGAGACACGGUCCAA